GACGAACGCGGCGGCGUGCCUAAUACAUGCAAGUAGAACGCUGAAGGAGGAGCUUGCUUCUCUGGAUGAGUUGCGAACGGGUGAGUAACGCGUAGGUAACCUACCUGGUAGCGGGGGAUAACUAUUGGAAACGAUAGCUAAUACCGCAUAAGAGUAGAUGUCGCAUGACAUUUGCUUGAAAGGUGCAAUUGCAUCACUACCAGAUGGACCUGCGUUGUAUUAGCUAGUUGGUGAGGUAACGGCUCACCAAGGCAACGAUACAUAGCCGACCUGAGAGGGUGAUCGGCCACACUGGGACUGAGACACGGCCCAGACUCCUACGGGAGGCAGCAGUAGGGAAUCUUCGGCAAUGGACGGAAGUCUGACCGAGCAACGCCGCGUGAGUGAAGAAGGUUUUCGGAUCGUAAAGCUCUGUUGUAAGAGAAGAACGAGUGUGAGAAGUGGAAAAGUUUCA
RNAcentral lists this ribosomal RNA (454 nucleotides) under Streptococcus mitis. RNAcentral describes it as "bacterial SSU rRNA". It matches the Rfam family "Bacterial small subunit ribosomal RNA", at positions 28 to 466 of the family's 1533-position model. The record is from RNAcentral. Lineage: Bacteria; Bacillati; Bacillota; Bacilli; Lactobacillales; Streptococcaceae.